AUAUUUCAUGAAGUAUACCUUCUAUCAUACAAAACAGUCUUACCUGAUUCAGACUAUAGGGCCAAGCCAAACUGUACUGUGCUCGUUCUGAUAUUUUAUUUUCACAUUGUCCUUUCCAGGUAGGUUCCAGCAACUAUGUUUGACUAGGCCAGCCCAAUAUACUGUAGGUUGGCUUUGCUCAGUAGUUUUAAAAAGGGUUCUGUGGUACACAAAGAUUACUUUGCACCUUUCUUUGAUGUAGCUGCUUUGUUUUUUUCUUUAUGAACUUCAGCUUCUAAAACCAUCAUUGGACAAGACAAAACAUCAAUCUCAAGAAUUACGCCAUUAUUCAUUUGAUACAAGUUAAAAACAUCCUAUCUGUACCUUUUUUUGCAGGUUCUGGUUUGGCUUGUUCCUUAGUUUCCUUGGGCUCUACACAAACAAGAACAGUAACAUAUUUGAACGAUGGCUCCGGAGGUGAUGGCUGACGUUUUUUGUGCUCCUAACCAAUUGUGCUAUUUUGUGUGUUUUUUUUAAAGUAAUUUGAGGGUUCUUUUGUACAUAAGGUUUCUGCCACUGUCUUAUAUGACUGAAAAGAGCUUCUGGAUAUCAGAAUAGCCAUGAAGAUUUUUUUAAAUAUUUUUUCUUUAACGACUCGGACACAAAGGAUGUACUUCAGACACUCGACAAGGCCCGAAUCCCUGUCAUUCGCAUGAAGAAGAGAUGGAGAUAUCGGAGACGUAGGUCGGGGUGCGUUGUGAGGAUCUGACAGUGAGUGAGUAAUCCCCCUCUACCAUCAAUCCUAUUAGCCAACAAGCAAUCAAUGUAUGAGCUCCAAUCAAAUCUAUCCUACCAACAGGACAUUAAAAACUGUAAUAUCUUAUGUUUCACCGAGUCGUGGCUGAAAGACGACAUGGAUAACAUACAGCUGGCUGGAUUACCAGUUAAUCGGGGUUAUAUCCUGCCUGUUUGGCCCUGUCCGGGGGGUAUCAUCGGAUGGGGCCACAGUGUCUUCUGAUCCCUCCUGUCUCAGCCUCCAGUAUUU
RNAcentral lists this long non-coding RNA (1024 nucleotides) under Salmo salar (Atlantic salmon). RNAcentral describes it as "lncRNA (ENSSSAG00000100866.1)". Lineage: Eukaryota; Metazoa; Chordata; Actinopteri; Salmoniformes; Salmonidae. The record is from RNAcentral.